AUCCGGUAGGUAAGGCUACCGUGGGGAUAUGGGUCGCUGCCGCAAAGGGAUGGAGACAUCCUUCGUUGGUUUGAACAGGUCCUGUCGAACAGAAGGCAGGAUUUAACGCGACUUCACCGCCCCGCGACGCUAAAGCUUGGACGGUGG
This 147-nucleotide small RNA is filed under the name uncultured Lawsonibacter sp. Its description in RNAcentral is "M-box riboswitch (ykoK leader)". It matches the Rfam family "M-box riboswitch aptamer (ykoK leader)", at positions 10 to 160 of the family's 169-position model. Rfam says of the family: M-box riboswitch, also know as ykoK leader is described as a metaloregulatory RNA that sense divalent metals and function as a genetic control element of genes related to divalent metal transport in bacteria. Lineage: Bacteria; Bacillati; Bacillota; Clostridia; Eubacteriales; Oscillospiraceae. The record is from RNAcentral.